Long non-coding RNA from Gallus gallus (chicken), 1899 nucleotides. RefSeq lists it as uncharacterized. The transcript has 4 exons. NCBI's taxonomy places the organism in Eukaryota, Metazoa, Chordata, Aves, Galliformes, Phasianidae. The record is from RefSeq and is a predicted model, not a curated record.
GCCUGAAGGCUAUCAGGAGGGACUUCAGGGGACUGGGGUGGUUAGCAGAUGGAGUGGAAGUACAGGUCAGUUUUGUCCAAAUGGGGAAGUAUUCAGAUCUGGACUUUUGGUCUGAGUCUUCUGUAAAACUUGAAAAUCAGAGAUGAGGGAAGUCAUCAUGACUGGUAGAGCAGGUAUGAAAUAUUCCUUUGAGGAAGCAGCGUGCUGCCCACUGGAGACUUUGUGUGUAAGUGAAAAUUGUGAGAUCUACUGGAGUAUGGGAAAGGAUGCCUUUAUGUUUCAAGUGGGCAGGAAGUUCAGAGAAGAAAGCAGGAGAGAAGAGAUUCAGGAUCGUAUCAGCUCUCCUAAGUAGCAGUUCACCAGCACAAUCAGUGGAUGUAUUACUCAUAGACAGCCUUGCAUGCAGGUAUGCCAAGAGGGAUCCCAGCUUGCAGUAAGUCACAUUUUUAUAAAUGCUGUACUCUUCUAAGUUGCCUCUUUUUAUAUUUGAGAAUAUGAAAUCAGUUCUUCUGUCAUUUCCGUGAACACAUAGUGAUUCUCUUGAGCUUUGGAAGGAAAACAGGAGAAAAGUGAAGUGCAUGGCAGGAGUGGUAUUUCAUUCCCUGUUUUCCUUUCAUGACUCUUCUGUCCUGUCCAUUGCCCAGAGAAAAGAAAGUCUAACCACAUGUUUCAGAGCAAAAAAAAAAAAACACUGUUUGAGAGGGCAGGAUUAUACCCAAGUUUGCAUUUUAAUUAGAAGUGGGGCAAAAAGACUCAGACAGAAAAAAAUCCAAAUGUUUCAUUUAACAGGACGAGAAUAUAUUUCCUCAACAGAUACAGGCUAUGUGUGAAGUGCAUAAAUAGGUAUUUCUUAUUACUGAAGAAUUUAUACAAGGUACUCGAAUGAUUCUCUCCAAGGCAUUUUUUUUUCUUUCAGGGCUGAAAUACUAUAUGGCUUCUCUGAGGGAAAAUUAAUCUACAGUUUUCAACAGAGUACCUUGGGAUAAAGUAAACAGUGCUUUAAUAUCUCUUCUAAAAGACAUACUAUAAAAAUAAAAGUGACACAUUUUUUACUUGUUUUGAGUGCACAAUUUUUCACACCAUGAGUAACUAUGUAAUUUAUUGGAAAUUACACAUUUACUUUAUUCAUUAGUACUUGUAAAAAAUAAUUGAAUUACUUCUAGCCUAUUCUAGUUUUAUGGAAAAUGAAGAAUGACUUGAUUCAAACAUUAUUAACUAAAUUAAGUAAUUCUUUAUGAGGCAUUUAUUUCUAGACUGCCGGGACUUUUAGCUGCAAAUAAGCCCCUUAGACCAGGGUAGAGAUUAGUCAUUGAAAGCAUGCAGCUUCCCAUUCACUUUAUAAUGUUCAUCUCAUUAGGUCAUACAAGAUUUGUAACUCCCCAAAACAGACAGAGAUCAAGAAGUAAAGAAAGAAUGCAGACUAACAGAAAGAGAUGAUAGAGAAGGAGAGAGCUUCCCUUUAUCUGUAAGAAAUACAUCAAAUCAAAGAUAGGAAACAUUAAUAUAAAAGAAUAUGCUUUUCAACUAGAAAAGAGGAACACAGUUUAAUAGUUUGGUAAUAGCUCACUCAGCUACACUUCCUCUACCUUCUCAAUAAUUAUGGAUUUGCUGUAACACACAGGCUACUGGGAAAGAUGAUGGCACACCAAAAGGCAGAAUGUUUUAGCUUUCAGUAGAAGGACUGACUGUGUUCUCACAGUUAACACAGUCCUGUGUCAGGAUGCAAAGAAAUCAGACAACAGUAGGGAAAGAGAGCAGUUCUACAGGUAUUGCAAAUCAUAUGAGUCAGAGGAUCAAAGUGAUGCUUCUAGGUCUGGUUGAAGCAGUUGCAGGGCAAUAACCAUUUUCUCUGAGACCUUGUGAAAGAACAGAAAAUGGCAAAAUGAGUCUUUAGAUACG